This 116-nucleotide small nuclear RNA is filed under the name Choloepus hoffmanni (Hoffmann's two-fingered sloth). The record is from RNAcentral. Lineage: Eukaryota; Metazoa; Chordata; Mammalia; Pilosa; Megalonychidae.
GUGGUGGAAUUCGGGAACUCACCAGCACACAUAUUAAAAUAGGAAUGAUGCAGAGAAGAUUAGCAUGGCCUCUGCACAAGGAUGACACACAAAUUUAUACAGCAUUCCAUAUUUUU